Sceloporus undulatus (fence lizard) is the source of this 1571-nucleotide long non-coding RNA. RefSeq lists it as uncharacterized. Lineage: Eukaryota; Metazoa; Chordata; Lepidosauria; Squamata; Phrynosomatidae. The transcript is spliced from 3 exons. The record is from RefSeq and is a predicted model, not a curated record.
CUAUGACUUUUACCUCCCGCUACUUUGCACCCUGGUAUGGUGUUUCAGAAAGAUCCUGUCACAGGAUCUGCUCAUGCAGUUUUAAGUAGUUACUGGUCACAACAACUGGGGAAAAAGGAAAUGUGUGCAUUUCAGUGUUCUGCCCGUGGAGGAAGGUUGAAGAUUUUGCUCCGGCAGGACGGAAGAGUAGAUAUUGGUGGUCAAACAGUCAUUGUAUUAAAAGGCUCUUUGACCAUUUGAAGAAACAACAACAGCUUUCAAUUUUUUUAAAUCUGUUUGUUCAGAUUUUUAUUGCUAUGGAUGCAUAUUUUACUUACCAGAAUGCAGCUACUUAAUUUUAAAGGGAUAAUAUUCAUAAUUUGGAAGCUUGUUUCCAAAUCAAUAAAAAUUAAUUGUAGUCAAUUAGAUAAUUACCCAUCAAUAUAUACCGGUAGUCAAUAUCACAGUAUAUUAGUCGCUAAAGUAACUUUAAGUAUUGUAGUUCAUUCAUAUAUAAAUAUACAUUUAAAUAUAAUUAUUAAAGUAUCUAUGUGAUUUUGUUAACAGUGAAAAUAUUCACAGGAAUCUUUUUGAGAUCUUAUGUCUUUGUAAAUGGACUGCAAGAAUUAGAAUUACACAGUUGUAUAAUAUCCGUAUCCGGCAGAGGGUUGCUAUUACAUUACUACAUAGUAGAGCCAGCAAAAGUGUCUGGUGCUUAUUGACCUGUGAUACACAUUGGUGCUUAGUGUGCAUCACACAUUGAUGUGGAUUGCAUAUUUGCCAGUGUCCCAUACACAUCUUUACAAUUCAAUAAAUCUGUUUCUUAUCACUUGUGCUACGUAGCUAGGUAUAUGUAAAGUUAUAUAACAUAACAGGUCAUAUAGGAUUCUGGCUGAUGUUUCCACAUAUUAUUUACUGGUAAUUGAACAUGAAGGAGAUUUUAUUUUUUACUAACAAUUAGGAGUUCUUUUAUUUAAUAACAAUGAAGUGGGUAGCCUGAGUGGCACCCCUACUGCAGCAUGCCCUAUUUGGAAAUCUGGAUGGCUGCAACACAGGAGGAAGCAAGAGUACCCACCACAAUGAGAUAAUCCAAAGAUAUCAGUAUAAUCCUUUUGUCCAUGGAGGGUGAAGAUACAGUUCUGACCUGAGAGGUUGGUUGUGCAUACACUAAGGGCUUUUUCCCAGUAGAAUAUCUUUGUCUGAGAUAUUCAUGCCAAUUGUCCAAACAUUUCCUCAGUCUCCUAAACAUUUUUCUUUAGCACCAAGGUAAUCCAUUCAUCCCAAAGUGGCUUCUUGGGGCAUGAUUUUAAAUAUAAAUAUCUCUGCCUGAACGCUGGCAAUUCAGAUUAGUCUGAAGCAGGACAGAACCUCUGUUUGACUUUUACUAGAUUCUUCAAUAAGCCAGCCACCCCACUUGCUGUGCCUAUUGAGCCAUCUCUGUUCCAGACACCCCUUGAUUGGAACCAAGCUUCAAGAUCGGUACAGUAUUACCAUUAGCAAGGCCUCCGCUUUGUACCUUUCUUCACCUUUGCUUCAUUAGCUCUUGUGUGUGCAUGAGUGUUGAUUAUUUCACUAAUAAACUACAAAACCUA